RNAcentral lists this ribosomal RNA (266 nucleotides) under uncultured bacterium. RNAcentral's name for it is "partial 16S ribosomal RNA". It matches the Rfam family "Bacterial small subunit ribosomal RNA", at positions 793 to 1055 of the family's 1533-position model. The record is from RNAcentral.
GUCCUAGCCCUAAACGGUGCACAUUUGCUGUAAGAGGAAUCGACCCCUUUUGUGGCGUAGCUAACGCGAUAAAUGUGCCGCCUGGGGAGUACGGUCGCAAGAUUAAAACUCAAAGAAAUUGACGGGGCCUGCACAAGCGGUGGAGUAUGUGGCUUAAUUCGAUGCAACGCGAAGAACCUUACCUGGCCUUGACAUGUACGUAGUAGAAGGGUGAAAGCCUGACGAGGUAGCAAUACCAGCGUACACAGGUGCUGCAUGGCUGUCGU